CCUCUUCCCAUUCCGAACAGAGAAGUUAAGCCCGUCAGCGCCGAUGGUACUGCGUAAAAGUGGGAGAGUAGGUCGCUGCCAAUU
This 84-nucleotide ribosomal RNA is filed under the name Draconibacterium aestuarii. Lineage: Bacteria; Pseudomonadati; Bacteroidota; Bacteroidia; Marinilabiliales; Prolixibacteraceae. The record is from RNAcentral.